Long non-coding RNA from Rhagoletis zephyria (snowberry fruit fly), 2131 nucleotides. RefSeq lists it as uncharacterized. The record is from RefSeq and is a predicted model, not a curated record. NCBI's taxonomy places the organism in Eukaryota, Metazoa, Arthropoda, Insecta, Diptera, Tephritidae.
AACAUCAUCCAACAACUCAUCGACAAAACUGUUAUACACCGUACCUUGGUGGCCGCAAUGCACGUGUGCCUCUGUGUGCAAAAACCCAAACAUUUUACGACUUGGUAACAGUUUGCUAUCGCUGGCUGUUGCUGUUGCUGUUGCUGUCUGUCUGCUGCCGGUGCUACUGAUUUUGAUGACGACAAUCAUUCGCCGCGCCAUCAUUCAGUCAGCCAUAUUCGUCGUGUCGACAGGCGCAAAUUUAAAAUUUCAAUACAAAGUUGGUAGCCAAGCAGAGCGCAUGCACGUGACCGGCAGGAAAAUGCUUUAGUAAUUUAGUCUACAAGUGAUUGGUUGUUCUAUGUUGGAGUAGCAAAAAAAAAAAUUCCUGCAGAGUGGCUAGACUAGCCGUUGUCAUUGGAGAUCGAAUACUUUAAUACGAACCAGAACGCGCUAAGUAGAAGAGGUGCUGUGGGCGGAAUAACAGCUGUGAUGGCAAACAGGCAUGCAAGGCAGCAAUAAUCAGCCUCAGCAUUUCCACUCGACUGCGAUAAAGAUGAAGGAAAGUGUAUUGUUAUCUUAUUGAUGAAAUUCGCCUAACAAUGGGUGAAUAACGCCAGAACAGCUGGUCAGCUGCUGGCAAUAGGCUUUGCAAGUCUUCCAUGCCAUUGGGAAAAACCCAGAGAAAUAAUGUACGGCACCAAUGAAAACAUAUGCUACCCACUGUAGCCAUGACAUCCUGGUUGUUUGUCCUUCUCCCCGAUAUUUGGUCAUCCAUUGACAAAGUGCACAACUGGACCGUGAAACAGCCCUUCGCUGCACAACUGAAAAUCCAUCGCAAAACAUUCAUACACACACAGCCUACGCGCAAAAGCUACAAGAGCCGAAGGAAGUGCUGUCACAUGCAUAACAGCACAUGACGACAGGGAAAUGCCGGGCAUGAAUGGCUUACACCAAGUAGUGUUUUUGACAGUUUGCAUAGUCUGCACGGCCCUCAAGAAAAGACAACUCCGAGCGUUUUGAUUUGUUGUUGCUAGUCGACUUCGCGGCACAGCUGUUGACGCACUUGAAAACGUGAGUUGAAACUCGCUCUGGGUCUACUACGCUCAGCAAAGUUGCGAGUUAUUUCUUCACGCUCAGAAUAUCACACCACUUUUAUAUCAACAAAGAAGAAGAAGAAACAGUACAGACACAAUCAACCCUCGGCAACCAGGUGUUGGGUGAUGGUGUUGUUGUUUGUUUAAGUGCGAUGAAUAGCCAGAAAAUGUUUUCUCAGCAAAAACUUGAUUUUCGCAAAACAAAGCAAACGCCAAAGAAAACGACGUAAAAAACUUGAAUGCAAACAAAACUGCUUGCCCGCUUGGCUAUCAAUGAGCGCGCCCUGCUCGGUACAGCCGUUGCAUGCAUUGUUGAUGAAUGAGCAGCAACAGCGGCAGCAGCAGUAGGAGCAGCAGUAGCAACAACAGCGGCAAAAUAUGUGAGCUAAGAGCACGCUGACACAGUGCGCUUGCUCUAAUGCUCACGAGCACGGAAACGGAAGGUUCUUAUGUAGCAUGUCAGCAACAAUGACGGCGACGGUGAAGUAAAAAAAAACAUUCCCAUAGGCAUACACAUUUACAUCCACACUAUGUUCAUACACAUACAUAUGUACACACUCGGUUGGUGGUACGACGCUACGUAUGCGUACCCUUGCACCGCUGCGGAAGAGACCGUCGCCCCUCAUAUAUCCAUCUUCUUUUGGAAUUCGUAUAACAGUUUGCACGCGCUGCUGCACAGAAUGAUUUCCGAUGAGGUGUGUGCAUUGGCGAGUUUCAUAGCCAGGUCAGUUGACAGUCGGCAGCGCUACAACCGAGCGAAGAGUGCUUUCUGUUUCUGUUGGUACAGUGUGAAACUAACUGGCAGACCCCCCAAACUAGCCAACUACAGUAUUUGUGUAGCUACAGCAGCAGUCAUUCUUUUCUAAAUUAAUAUUUUUUUUUUCCUGCUAAAAUAUUAAAGCGAAAAGUUGAUUGAAAUUAUUUUUGCAGCGGCAAAAAGUGUCAGCGACGUGUGAGUCGUCAACGGCGACGUCACAACGUCAUAACCAAAAUUAAGCAGCAGCCAUUUUGUGCCGAGAAAAAUCGUCCAAAUAGUAUCGCAUACUCAUUUGUAU